AAUGAACGUUGGCGGCGUGGAUUAGGCAUGCAAGUCGAGCGAGAACCGGCCUUCGGGCCGGGGACAGCGGCGAAAGGGACAGUAAGGUGUAGAUCAUCUGCCCCGAGGACCGGGAUAGCUGCGGGAAACUGCAGGUAAUACCGGAUAACAUCUCCGGAUCAAAGGUGUGAUUCCGCCUCGGGAUGAGUCUGCAUCCUAUUAGCUUGUUGGUGGGGUAAUGGCCUACCAAGGCAAUGAUGGGUAGCGGGUGUGAGAGCACGACCCGCGUCACUGGGACUGAGACACUGCCCAGACACCUACGGGUGGCUGCAGUCGAGAAUCUUCGGCAAUGGGCGCAAGCCUGACCGAGCGACGCCGCGUGCGGGAUGAAGGCCUUCGGGUUGUAAACCGCUGUCAGAGGGGAGGAAAUCUACCAGGGUUCUCUCUGGUAGUUGACCUAUCCUCAGAGGAAGUACGGGCUAAGUUCGUGCCAGCCGCCGCUGUAAUAC
RNAcentral lists this ribosomal RNA (488 nucleotides) under uncultured bacterium. RNAcentral's name for it is "bacterial SSU rRNA". It matches the Rfam family "Bacterial small subunit ribosomal RNA", at positions 29 to 526 of the family's 1533-position model. The record is from RNAcentral.